GACGAACGCUGGCGGCGUGCCUAAUACAUGCAAGUCGAGCGAAGUUUUUCUGGUGCUUGCACCGGAAAAACUUAGCGGCGAACGGGUGAGUAACACGUAAAGAACCUGCCUCAUAGACUGGGACAACUAUUGGAAACGAUAGCUAAUACCGGAUAACAGCAUUAACUGCAUGGUUGAUGUUUAAAGGUUGGUUUUGCUAACACUAUGAGAUGGCUUUGCGGUGCAUUAGCUAGUUGGUGGGGUAAAGGCCUACCAAGGCGACGAUGCAUAGCCGACCUGAGAGGGUGAUCGGCCACACUGGGACUGAGACACGGCCCAGACUCCUACGGGAGGCAGCAGUAGGGAAUCUUCCGCAAUGGGCGAAAGCCUGACGGAGCAACGCCGCGUGAGUGAAGAAGGAUUUCGGUUCGUAAAGCUCUGUUGUUAGGGAAGAAUGAUUGUGUAGUAACUAUACACAGUAGAGACGGUACCUAACCAGAAAGCCACGGCUAACUACGUG
RNAcentral lists this ribosomal RNA (499 nucleotides) under uncultured bacterium. RNAcentral describes it as "partial 16S ribosomal RNA". It matches the Rfam family "Bacterial small subunit ribosomal RNA", at positions 28 to 507 of the family's 1533-position model. The record is from RNAcentral.